This 94-nucleotide transfer RNA is filed under the name Cellulomonas carbonis. Its description in RNAcentral is "tRNA-Gly". The record is from RNAcentral. Lineage: Bacteria; Bacillati; Actinomycetota; Actinomycetes; Micrococcales; Cellulomonadaceae.
GGCCGCGGUGGUCGGGGGCGCGUGGAUCGUCGGGCUCCCGCUGCGAUGAGCGCGGCCGGCGCCGUCGCGCUGUGGGUCGCCGCCGUGGCGGCCC